This 522-nucleotide ribosomal RNA is filed under the name bacterium 4746K6-B8. RNAcentral describes it as "bacterial SSU rRNA". It matches the Rfam family "Bacterial small subunit ribosomal RNA", at positions 1 to 526 of the family's 1533-position model. The record is from RNAcentral.
UAGAGUUUGAUCCUGGCUCAGAUUGAACGCUGGCGGCAGGCCUAACACAUGCAAGUCGAGCGGUAACAUUUCUAGCUUGCUAGAAGAUGACGAGCGGCGGACGGGUGAGUAAUGCUUGGGAACAUGCCUUGAGGUGGGGGACAACAGUUGGAAACGACUGCUAAUACCGCAUAAUGUCUACGGACCAAAGGGGGCUUCGGCUCUCGCCUUUAGAUUGGCCCAAGUGGGAUUAGCUAGUUGGUGAGGUAAUGGCUCACCAAGGCGACGAUCCCUAGCUGGUUUGAGAGGAUGAUCAGCCACACUGGGACUGAGACACGGCCCAGACUCCUACGGGAGGCAGCAGUGGGGAAUAUUGCACAAUGGGCGCAAGCCUGAUGCAGCCAUGCCGCGUGUGUGAAGAAGGCCUUCGGGUUGUAAAGCACUUUCAGUCAGGAGGAAAGGUUAGUAGUUAAUACCUGCUAGCUGUGACGUUACUGACAGAAGAAGCACCGGCUAACUCCGUGCCAGCAGCCGCGGUAAUAC